This 460-nucleotide ribosomal RNA is filed under the name uncultured bacterium. RNAcentral describes it as "partial 16S ribosomal RNA". It matches the Rfam family "Bacterial small subunit ribosomal RNA", at positions 338 to 795 of the family's 1533-position model. The record is from RNAcentral.
CCUACGUGAGGCAGCAGUGAGGAAUAUUGGUCAAUGGGCGCGAGCCUGAACCAGCCAAGUAGCGUGAAGGAUGACUGCCCUACGGGUUGUAAACUUCUUUUAUAAGGGAAUAAAGUGAGGCACGUGUGCCUUUUUGUAUGUAUUUUAUGAAUAAGGAUCGGCUAACUCCGUGCCAGCAGCCGCGGGAAUACGGUGGGUCCGAGCGUUAUCCGGAUUUAUUGGGUUUAAAGGGAGCGUAGAUGGGUUGUUAAGUCGGUUGGGAAAGUUUGCGGCUCAACCGUAAAAUUGCAAUUGAUACUGGCAGCCUUGAGUACAGUUGAGGUAGGCGGAAUUCGUGGUGUAGCGGUGAAAUGCUUAGAUAUCACGAAGAACUCCGAUUGCGAAGGCAGCCUACUAAACUGCCACUGACAUUGAUGCUCGAAAGUGUGGGUAUCAAACAGGAUUAGAUACCCUAGUAGUC